Long non-coding RNA from Syzygium oleosum, 625 nucleotides. RefSeq lists it as uncharacterized. The record is from RefSeq and is a predicted model, not a curated record. NCBI's taxonomy places the organism in Eukaryota, Viridiplantae, Streptophyta, Magnoliopsida, Myrtales, Myrtaceae. The transcript is spliced from 2 exons.
CAUUUUUCCACAUAAAGACUUUAGAUGUAUGGACAGUUGAGACGUCUGAUUUGAUCCACGACGGGUAUCUAUGGAGGAAAUAUGGUUAGAGACCGAUUCUCGACUCCAAAUUCCCCAGGAAGUACUACAGGUGCGUUCACCAGAUCGAUCAGGAAUGUCAAGCAACCAAGCUGGUCCAAAGGACAUCGCAUGACCCACGCCUUUUCCUGAUCAGAUGCUGAGGCCGCCACACUUGCAAGAUCAUCCUCAAAUCCCCCCCACUCAUCCUGGACUCACCAAGCCCUAGGGACGACUCCACCCCCUUAAGUUUCAACACUAGCCUCAUUGCCGAACAAGACAACGACGACAACAACAACCCCAUCUUUUUCGACUUUCUAUCAGUGAAUGAGGAGCAAAAGUUGCCCAGUGAGGAUGAUCUGAACCCCCGCAGCCACAGCCACGACGACAAUGGCAACAACAACAAUCAAUCCGCAUGAACCGAUUACUACGCCAUACUCGAAUCUGCUGGGGAGAUCUAAGCCCUGUCGUCAGAUCAAGGGAUGUGAUGUUUAGUGUUUAGGGUCUCAACAGUGCUGAUAUGAUUGUGGGGUUUGAGUUUGAUGAUCUGUCGGAUUAUGAACUUCAA